AGUGAACGCUGGCGGUAGGCCUAACACAUGCAAGUCGAACGGCAGCACAGUAAGAGCUUGCUCUUACGGGUGGCGAGUGGCGGACGGGUGAGGAAUACAUCGGAAUCUACUUUUUCGUGGGGGAUAACGUAGGGAAACUUACGCUAAUACCGCAUACGACCUACGGGUGAAAGCAGGGGAUCUUCGGACCUUGCGCGAUUGAAUGAGCCGAUGUCGGUUUAGCUAGUUGGCGGGGUAAAGGCCCACCAAGGCGACGAUCCGUAGCUGGUCUGAGAGGAUGGUCAGCCACCCUGGAAGUGAGACACGGUCCAGACUCCUGCGGGAGGCCGCAGUGGGGUAUAUGGGACAAUAGGCGCAAGCCUGAUCCAGCCGUACCGCGUGGGUGAAGAAGGCCUUCGGGUUGUAAAGCCCUUUUGUUGGGAAAGAACAGCAGCAGGUUAAUACCCAGCUGUUCUGACGGUACCCAAUGAAUAAGCACCGGCUAACUUCGUG
This 492-nucleotide ribosomal RNA is filed under the name uncultured bacterium. Its description in RNAcentral is "partial 16S ribosomal RNA". It matches the Rfam family "Bacterial small subunit ribosomal RNA", at positions 29 to 507 of the family's 1533-position model. The record is from RNAcentral.